GACGAACGCUGGCGGCGGGCUUAACACAUGCAAGUCGAACGGAAAGGCCCUGCUUUUGUGGUGUGCUCGAGUGGCGAUCGGGUGAGUAACACGUGAGUAACCUGCCCUUCACUUUGGGAUAACUUCAGGAAACUAGGGCUAAUACCGGAUAGGAGCUCCUGCUGCAUGGUGGGGGUUGGAAAGUCUAGGCGGUUGGGGAUGGACUAGCGGCUGAUCAGCUUGUUGGUGGGGUAGUGGCUUACCAAGGCUUUGACGGGUAGCCGGCCUGGGAGGGUGACCGGGGACAAUGGGCCUGAGAGAGGGCCCAGACUCGUACGUGAGGCAGCAGUGGGGAAUAUUGCACAAUGGGCGCAAGCCUGUUGCAGCAACGCCGCGUGUGGGAUGACGGCCUUCUGGGUGUGAACCGCUGCCGGCUAUGACGAAGCGGGAGUGACGGUAACGGGUAAAGAAGCACCGGCUAACUACGUG
This 468-nucleotide ribosomal RNA is filed under the name uncultured bacterium. Its description in RNAcentral is "partial 16S ribosomal RNA". It matches the Rfam family "Bacterial small subunit ribosomal RNA", at positions 28 to 507 of the family's 1533-position model. The record is from RNAcentral.